This is a long non-coding RNA of Rosa rugosa (rugosa rose), 613 nucleotides long. RefSeq lists it as uncharacterized. The record is from RefSeq and is a predicted model, not a curated record. Lineage: Eukaryota; Viridiplantae; Streptophyta; Magnoliopsida; Rosales; Rosaceae. The transcript has 3 exons.
UGCAAGUGAGAUUGAGAGGGACAUAAUAGCAAGAAUUGUCAAUUAUAUUUUGAAAUUUUCUUUGGGUUAUAUAACAUUAAUUGAAUGUAAUAUGCCAUGAUUAGGUGACUUCCUAAUUAUCAGUGAUGGUAUUAGCAAAGUGGUGUGAAGCUCAUGGAUCAAACAUGCUGCUCUUUUCUUCACACCUAUGUGUAUACUUUAAGGUAGCUGAGAGCUUGGAGCUGGUGAGAAGAAACUUAAUUGUAGUUGAUAAAGAGUGAAAACAUUUGUUGCUUGAUAACUGAGAUCCUCAAGCUAGUAAGAAGGACAUACUCAUUCUGGAUUCUGCAAAAGAGAGGAAAAAUAUUGAUCCUAUGGGCGCACCAUUUUCUGCUUCUGCUGGCAUAUAAUAUUCACAUGCAACAGCUACUCAUGUUUUUUUCAAUAAUCAUAUUAGUUUUUGAUGGUUUAUGUAUAUUGAUAAUGGCAUGGCACUAGAACGCUAUCUUGUUUUGGAAUAAUUUGUAUCAGUUUUGGAUAUCCCAAGUAGAUGGGCAUGUAUUAGAAUACUUAUUUUCUUUUAAUGUUGGCUUGGAUGAUUAUUAGGAAAUGCUCCCUUUUAACAUUUGAUGUA